ACAAACACCCCGGAAUGUUACUGAACUACACUUCUGACAUCCGUAUAUAAAAUUUCGACAGCAUCUCCUUUGCAAAAUAGCAUAAAGGAGGGGGCAACAGUGUAUAAACAUGUAUCAUGACAAAAAAACAUACUAAGUAUUAUUAAACGGCUAGCAAAGGAAAGUUAAACAUACGACAUGAACUGAAUUAACCAGUGCGCAUGACUAGUAAAAAAAACAAACAUCCUUUGACAUCAAGUUUCUAAUUAAAUCAUGGAUGCGCUUGGGCAGCCUUAAUAUGAGAGUGAAAGUGGACGUGCUGCUACUCCCCUCAUUCCCCACAUAUAUCAAGUACCUGCAUUGAGUAAUGCAAGAGUGAGAUGACACAUCUCAGCAAGUAAAAUAAUAACAAACUGUUUAACCACAUAAGAACAUUGUUUUACCACCAUUUGAUUUCGCAACCUUCUUAUUACGAAGGUGCAGCACGAAUACAACGUACAACACACCUAGUUACCACACCUCGCAGGUAGAAACCACAAUAGUAACAUAGUAAUGUCACACUUCAUAUAUACCUCAUGAGUGCAAAUGUCUGCAAAUGCAAGGAUGACUUCUGCCUUCAUACCUCUAAGGGUAUGAAGCCGCAUCGUACCCCUCCUCGGGCAACGUACGAUGCUAAAAGUGUACCGGUACGGUCGGACCAUAAGAUCACGACAUAACUUCAAAAUGCAAUAUGGAUGAUGCGAUGUGCAUGACAUGCCUACAACACUUCAUACAACGUGAUUCAAAAAGAUACUUCAACUUCAUCCAAGAUGGGAAUCAACCACAUAUAUCAUUCCCAAAUCAUGAUCAUCCUCAAUAUUAGACAAUUGAGAAUUAAUUCUUUCGAACAAAUAAACUUCAUCAUAGAAUUCAAUGAUUAACACAUUUAAUACUUAUGCAUACUCAAUGACAAGGCAUAGGGUGCAAACCAAACGGUAGCAACCACCACUGUAUUUACUUGCCUUCACCGGGAAUUUGGAAUGGUACUAAGUACGAUCCGGAAGUCCACCACCUGUUUUUGACACACACCUUAGUGUACAAAUCAACAUAACAAACGCUAAUAAACAACGCCGCACCUACGCACAAUUCCAACCCGUUGCGAGCGACAACUCUCCCCAUCACCACCAAACUGCAGCGGUGCUGCUUGAUAAUUUCAUAACUUUAAAAUUAUAACAGCAGUGAUAUCAAUCAAAAACUACGGAAGCAUUUACAUAAAAUUUCCCACAAGUUUUAUAUUCAAAUGAUAAUUAAAUUCCAGCAUCUAAUUAGCCCAAACUCGUCUACAAGAUACACCCUGCAAUCUGUUUUUGGACAGCAACAUAACCGGAUUCAAACAGCGAUAUCUCCUAAAUUAUAACUCCGAAUCGAACGCAUAAGUACUCGUUGGAAAGGUAUGACAAGGCUCUACAUGAUUCUCAUAUUGAUUAUCACCAAUUUCCCACGAAAAAUUCCCAGAAACUGCUAAUACUACUGCUGUUCGCCCACCUGCAAAAAUCUGUUUUUUUUGGACAGCAACAUACCCGGAUUCAAACAGCAAUAUCUCCUAAAAUAUAACUCCGAAUCGAGUGCAUAAGUACUCGUUGGAAAGGUAUGACAAAGCUCUAAAUGAUUCUCAUAUUGAUUAUCACUAAGUUCCCACGAAAAAUCCCCAGAAACUGCUAAUACUACUGCUGUUUGCCCACCUGCAAAAUCUGUUUUUUUUGGACAGCAACAUACCCGGAUUCAAACAGCAAUAUCUCCUAAAAUAUAACUCCGAAUCGAGUGCAUAAGUACUCGUUGGAAAGGUAUGACAAAGCUCUAAAUGAUUCUCAUAUUGAUUAUCACUAAGUUCCCACGAAAAAUCCCCAGAAACUGCUAAUACUACUGCUGUUUGCCCACCUGCAAAAUCUGUUUUUUUUGGACAGCAACAUACCCGGAUUCAAACAGCGAUAUCUCCUAAAAUAUAACUCCGAAUCGAGCGCAUAAGUACUCGUUGGAAAGGUAUGAAAAAGCUCUACAUGAUUCUCCCACUGAUUCCCACUAAUUACCCACGAAAUAUUCCCAGAAUCUGCUAGAACUACUGCUGUUCGCGCACCCACAAAAUUUCUGGACAGCACCUCUACCAAUUCGCAUACGUAAACAUCUAAUCGAUUGAAUUGCAGCACAAAUAAACAAGAGUUAAUCACAAAAUCACCUUGGGUUCCUCCUUUCCUCCUUCCUUCCUCCCACCAAUUCUCCAAUCGGAACUUGCACCCACACGAAGAAGAUCCGGCGAGGAAGGACAUCACUUGGAGAGGAGGAGAUGGGAGGGGGGUGGCGGCUAGGGUUGAGGGGAUGGGGGCUGCUGCACAAGAGAGAGGGAAUUAGGGGGAAGGGGAUGGCGUCCAAAGGCUAGAGAGGGG
This 2399-nucleotide long non-coding RNA is filed under the name Zea mays. RNAcentral describes it as "long non-coding RNA (ZMAY_LNC003276)". The record is from RNAcentral. Lineage: Eukaryota; Viridiplantae; Streptophyta; Magnoliopsida; Poales; Poaceae.